RNAcentral lists this ribosomal RNA (429 nucleotides) under uncultured bacterium. Its description in RNAcentral is "bacterial SSU rRNA". It matches the Rfam family "Bacterial small subunit ribosomal RNA", at positions 355 to 776 of the family's 1533-position model. The record is from RNAcentral.
UGGGGAAUAUUGGACAAUGGGCGCAAGCCUGAUCCAGCCAUACCGCGUGUGUGAAGAAGGCCUUCGGGUUGUAAAGCACUUUAAGCAGGGAGAAAAAGCUAUAGGUUAAUACCCUAUGGCCCUGAUGUUACCUGCAGAAUAAGCACCGGCUAAUUCCGUGCCAGCAGCCGCGGUAAUACGGAAGGUGCAAGCGUUAAUCGGAAUUACUGGGCGUAAAGCGCGCGUAGGUGGUUUGUUAAGUUGGAUGUGAAAGCCCUGGGCUCAACCUAGGAACUGCAUCCAAAACUAACUCACUAGAGUACGAUAGAGGGAGGUAGAAUUCAUAGUGUAGCGGUGGAAUGCGUAGAUAUUAUGAAGAAUACCAGUGGCGAAGGCGGCCUCCUGGAUCUGUACUGACACUGAGGUGCGAAAGCGUGGGUAGCGAACAGG